This 296-nucleotide long non-coding RNA is filed under the name Gallus gallus (chicken). RNAcentral's name for it is "lncRNA (ENSGALG00010003876.1)". The record is from RNAcentral. Lineage: Eukaryota; Metazoa; Chordata; Aves; Galliformes; Phasianidae.
GGUUGCUUUCUCAGGAAGGAGUGUUCUGUAGCCAGAGAGCCUAUCACAAGUUAGGAGAGUCACUGUAGGACCACUGAAGAUCAAAGGACCAGAACAUCUCUCUGGCGGAGACUGAGAUUGCUGAGACUGUUCAGCCUGGAGAAAGAAAGACUGAGAGCGGAUCUUAUCAAUGUCUAUCGGUCCUGGAAGGAAUGGUACAGAAAAGAUGGAGCCAGGUUCUGUGCAGUGGUACCCAGUGUGAGGACGAGAGGCAAUGAGUACAAAUCAGAACACAGGAUGUCCCCUCUGAACACCAG